UAGUAAAACUCUAAAUACACAUGUAAUUAAUUCGGGUGUGUUCUAAGACAGAUGGUAUAAAAGAGAAAGUCUAUACCUAUGAGGGAAAAGGGAGAACGUAAAUAAAAACCACAUUCUUGUUCAAUCAGAUUAUAGCUGAUCUCCUAUUCCCCAACUUUUUUGUUCUGCUUUGCUUUUUAGGGCCACAGGUACAGCAUAUGGAAGUUCCCAGGGUAGGGGUCCAAUUGGAGCUACAGCUGCCAGCUUACACCACAGCCACAGCAACACCAGAUCUGAGCAACGUCUGCAACCUACACCACAGAUCACCCAACACCAUAUCCUUAACCCACUGAGUAAAGCAAUGGAUGGAAUUCACAUCCUCAUGGAUACUAGUCAGUUUCUUAACCCACUGAGCCACAAAGAGAACUCCUCCUCAGCUUCUUUAUCCCCAGGAUCUGAACAUCAUGGGCAUGGAUAAAGAAGAUACACUUCCUUCUCUGGUUAAUUCCUCCAGUCUGGAUUCUGAGAGGGAAAUCCUAAUGAAGAAACCAGACAGGUGCAUUUAUUGGCCCCCAAAUGAAUGCACACAGUGGUCCCAGCAUGGACACCAAACAAUGCUGACUCACCCUCAGGGCAGCAGUUGGAAUCUAUCUCAAAGGCUUCUGCUCACUACUUCCUCACAAGGCAGGGCUUUGAGGUUGUCAGAAAAAACUAGCAACCUGUAUUUGUGAAUCCAAACCAGCUUUACAAAUUGUAUCAUAAGAAUUCAACAAUAAUUGUAACCUAGCACACUCUGCAAACCAGAAAAAGCUUGUCAACAGGGAGAACUAAGCAGUCACAAAUGCCCAUCUAAGGGAGGAAGGAGCUCUCAGAGGGGCCACCUGAACUACCAGAAAUAAACAAGCUGUGUAUUAAAAAUAGAUAUUUGGGCUCCACUGCAGACCUCCCAUAAUGAGGAAAAAGAGUGUUAACUCAACUGAAAAAAACCUCAAACAUUUCGAAUACCCAGCUGAGUUCAGGCCCUACCACAUCAAAUGACCUGCCAAAGGUCCCCUCUCUAAGGCUCCCUGCCACUCUGCCUGAGAGCCAGCAAGUCUAGAGAGGGAUAGGCCUCAGCACUCAGGGCCCACUGGAGUGAUGGCCACCAAACCCACAGCUGCUCUGGCCUCCCGCUGUGUGUGGGGCCAGGAGGACAGUCUCUAGGGGGUCUUCUCUGUGGGCAGCUGGGCAGAGGUGAUCCUCACCACCCCCCACCCUCCAAGCACCCAAAGAAUCUGCACCCCAGAGCAUCAGGUGGGCCUCCCCAUUUAAGGAAAACUCAACCAGUCUUUGGAACAAACAAUUUUGUUGCUGUAGCCCCUUCCCCACAUGUAUAUUGCUGUACAGUGCUGGCUCUAUGGUCACGCAGGUUUAUCGGCUUGUCACACAGGGGAGCUCAGGGGCUUUUUCUUUCUUCUUUCUUUUUUUCUUUUUUUUUUUCUUUUCUUUUUAGGGCGGUACCUGCAGCAUAUGGAAGUUUCCAGGCUAGGUAUCAGAGCUAGUAUCAGAGCUGCAGAUAUCAGGCUAUAUCAGAGCUGCAGCUGCCAGCCAUGACAACAAAGGAUCAAAACCACGUCUGUGACCUAUACCACAGCUCACGGCAACACUGGAUACUUAACCCACUGAGCGAGGCCAGGGAUCGAACCCAAAUUCUCAUGGGUACUGGCUGGGUUCGUUACCACUGAGCCACAACAGGAACUCC
RNAcentral lists this long non-coding RNA (1720 nucleotides) under Sus scrofa (pig). Its description in RNAcentral is "lncRNA (ENSSSCG00050047385.1)". Lineage: Eukaryota; Metazoa; Chordata; Mammalia; Artiodactyla; Suidae. The record is from RNAcentral.